AUGGUGCGUUCUGGUCUCCACUUUGUUUCUCCGUCCUUCGGUGCAGGGCCGGGGAGGGGGCUCCGGGGCCUCGGGGGCCUCGGGGAGGGAGCCGCAGAGGGGCCGGGGCGCCGGCUCUCGGGGCGCGCGAGCCGAGCGGGGAGCCCGCUGCCCUGGGCACGUCGCGGCCGGGGCCGCCUGUGGAGCGUGGACGCGAGCGAGCCCGGGGCGGUGCCGCGGCGCCGGGGCCCGACAGGUGCGCCCCCGCCCCCCGCCUCGCGUCCCCCGCGCCCGCUCUCCCGCGUUCCCAGCGGGGGGUCGGGGGCGCCCCCAGGCCCGGAAACGCCGCCGCGGGGUGCGGGAGGCCGGCGAGGGAGCGGACCCUGCGCGCCCCGAGGGGCCGCCCCUGUCCCCGGGCGCCCGGCCUGGGCUCGUCCCCUUCCCCUCGCCGGGGCCUGCGGCGCUGCGGCUGCUCUGCCCCCGGGGCCCGGCCCGGUGCCCACGCGCGGAGGGACGGCGGAGCGCAGGACACGGCGCCCGGGGCCGACUCGGCGCGCAGGGGAGCGCGGGGCCCGAGGGGGGCGCCGACGGGGGGCGCUGCUCUCACGGCCCGGCGCCGGGGCCUCGGGGUGCACUCGGGGGGGCGCUGCUCUCCCACGGCCGGGCGCCGGGGCCUCGGGGUGCACUCGGGGGGGCGCUGCUCUCACGGCCCGGCGCCGGGGCCUCGGGGUGCACUCGGGGGGGCGCUGCUCUCCCACGGCCGGGCGCCGGGGCCUCGGGGUGCACUCGGGGGGGCGCUGCUCUCCCACGGCCGGGCGCCGGGGCCUCGGGGUGCACUCGGGGGGGCGCUGCUCUCCCACGGCCGGGCGCCGGGACCUCGGGGCGCACGCGGGGGGGCACGGGGGGGCGCUGCUCUCCCACUGCGGGGCGCCGGGGCCUCGGGGUGCACUCGGGGGGCGCACGCGGGGGGGCGUUGCUCUCCCACGGCCCGGGCGCCGGGGCCUCCGGGUGCACGCGGGGGGGGGGGGGGGGCGCUGCUCUCCCACGGCCCGGGCGCCGGGGCCUCGGGGCGCACGCGGGGGGGUCGACACGCGGGGGGGCGCUGCUCUCCCACGGCCGGGACCUCGGGGUGCACGGGGUGGGGCUGCUCUCCCCGGCCGGGACCUCGGGGUGCUCGGGGUGGGGCUGUUCUCCCCGGCCGGGACCUCGGGGUGCUCGGGGGGGGGCUGCUCUCCCCGGCCGGGGCCUCGGGGCGCAGGGGGGGCGCUGCUCUCCCACGGCCGGGGCGGCGGGGCGGCGGGGGCUCCAGGCCGCGCGGCGGCGUUGCGGCCGCUUCCCCCGCGGGCUGCUGCGCUGGGAGCCGCUCGGCUGGGAGGGAGCGCACAGCCGGGGCGGCGGCGGGGGCGGCGGGGGCGGCGGGGGCAGCCAGCUAACUUCCAGCGGGGCUGCUCGGCGCUGGGGCGAAGAGUAAGUGUGCGCGCGUGUGCGUGUGCGUGUGCGUGUGCGUGUGCGCGCCUGGUCUGA
RNAcentral lists this long non-coding RNA (1503 nucleotides) under Canis lupus familiaris (dog). RNAcentral's name for it is "lncRNA (ENSCAFG00030007553.1)". Lineage: Eukaryota; Metazoa; Chordata; Mammalia; Carnivora; Canidae. The record is from RNAcentral.